CGUUGUCGUCUAGGGUUAUUCCCGUGUUCUUCUUCGCCUCUUCUGCGUCAAGCAAUCUUCCAUCUUCUUCAUCACAAAGAUACAAGUUACAGAUUAAUUCCCUUAAAACCUUCAAUUAAUAUUUCAUUCACGAUCUACAUUUAAUGAGAGUUCUGCUUCUCCAAGGCGGUGGAGGUUCUAAUAUAAAAAGGCUUGCCGCUCCUCCUGCACUGGUCAAGUCCGGAUCCGUUUCUGGGUUAAUUCCCUUAAAACCUUCAAUUAAUAUUUCAUUCACGAUCUACAUUUAAUGAGAGUUCUGCUUCUCCAAGGCGGUGGAGGUUCUAAUAUAAAAAGGCUUGCCGCUCCUCCUGCACUGGUCAAGUCCGGAUCCGUUUCUGGGAGACUAGGAAUGUCCACCGUGGUGGAGAGCUCUUGGUCCUGGGAGUGGAUAUGCUGCUACUAGAUUCUCAGGAUUGGUAAUUCGCGUGGUUUUGCAUUUGUUCGAUUUAAGUAUAAAAACGAAGCUCCCAAAGCAGUGGAAAGGCUUGAAGUUACUGCCACCCAUUCGCACGUUUAGUGUUUUCAAUGGAAUGCAGCAGUCGAGUUUGUGUGGGUGGUGAACACGAAAGAAAAAGUUGUAGCAAAUCAUCUCAAGCUGGAGAUAAUUCGGCUUGGGAAGAAGGAGCUUCAUGAAGCAAAAAGUGUGGGUGAAACCAAGGUUGAACUUCAAGGAGUUGCAGGAGUUCAAGCAUGCUGGUGAUGAUUCCCUUACCAUUACUCCCUCCUAUCUUGACUGCAAAUAAGAUGAACAUGAAUCUAGAUGGGGGGAAGUUCCAUGAGGUGAUCAUUUCUCUUUUCAAAACUUUCUUCCUCGCAUUGGUUUUGUUAGUUUUCUCAGAGCUGUGUUUGAUCCAAUGGAACGAUCAGAUUUGAUGUGGGGAGAAAAUGAGCUUAUGGCUCAAGAAAUCUGUCUUAUUCUCACCAACUCAUUAACACAAAUCUUAGCAUUUGUUUCAUGUCUGAUCUUGGAGUCAUUGGUGAGAUUCAACAUGUUGGAAAGAGGUCUACUUGGAUAGACCCAUCAUCACUCGAAUGUUUGUUAUCAGCAACGGUGAACAGCAUCAACACAUCGACAGAACACAAUGACAGAACAAAGAGAUGACGACAGCAACAACAGCAAGCCAAGUCUUUGAAGAGAAACAGUGACGGGACAGGAAGUCACUUCCGUAUUUUUCACUAUUUUAUGGAGGGUCAAACCAGAAAUUAGCAAGACGGAGACCAAGUGGAAAACCCGAUGAAAUCAUAACAGAACAUUUGUCUUUAAGAGCUGAAACAAUGAAUCUUGAAAGUCAAAACAAUUCCAUUUCUCGCAUUUGUCAAAAGAACCACAAUCAAUGUAUGUUAACUUAUACAUUAUCUCACUAAAUAUUCACACCUUUAUAUCAAUGACU
Long non-coding RNA from Brassica napus (rape), 1430 nucleotides. RefSeq lists it as uncharacterized. The transcript is spliced from 7 exons. The record is from RefSeq and is a predicted model, not a curated record. NCBI's taxonomy places the organism in Eukaryota, Viridiplantae, Streptophyta, Magnoliopsida, Brassicales, Brassicaceae.